This 253-nucleotide ribosomal RNA is filed under the name uncultured bacterium. RNAcentral describes it as "partial 16S ribosomal RNA". It matches the Rfam family "Bacterial small subunit ribosomal RNA", at positions 524 to 776 of the family's 1533-position model. The record is from RNAcentral.
UACGUAGGGGGCAAGCGUUAUCCGGAUUUACUGGGUUUAAAGGGUGCGUAGGCGGGCCCUUAAGUCAGUGGUGAAAGCUCCGAGCUUAACUCGGAAACUGCCAUUGAUACUAUAGGUCUUGAAUUCGGUCGAGGUUGGCGGAAUGUGUCGUGUAGCGGUGAAAUGCUUAGAUAUGACACAGAACACCGAUUGCGAAGGCAGCUAGCUAGACCGACAUUGACGCUGAGGCACGAAAGCGUGGGGAUCAAACAGG